CGAGCAGCGCACCCGGCAGGUGAAACGGCCCAGGCGCUCGCGAUCACUUACGAGGGGAAGCCUUGCUAAGAUGUCGGAAGCUGACCUACAGUCUCAUGGAAUCGUGCCCCAGGAGGCGAGGGUUUUCCAAAAUGCAGCAAAGUAAGCGUUUUCAUCCUCUGGCAAAAGCCCAUGACAGAUAACCUGACUUCUUGAGCAUUAAGUCUGCGUUAACUCUCAAGAACCUUUUCAUCUUUUAAACACUAUUCAUGAAGUGCAGGUUUCCCUCGCCAUCCGAAGGUAGAGCAUUCCUAUGAAACGGUGCGUAAGCCGGAAUGUCGUAAAGCGAAGAAGCAAUUACCAUUUAUUUAUAUGGGAAAAUUUUGUGGGCGUUCGCAGACCCAAAAAUAACCUACCAAAUCAUGCCAAAUAACACAUAAAACCUAAAAUAACAGUAAUAUAUAGUAAAAGCAGUAAUGAUAUGAUAAAUACACAGCUUAUAUAAAGUAGAAAUACUUUUCCACAAUCAUUGCCUGAACUGUUCUCCGUAGCGAAAAUCUCACGCAAGCACCGUCAGCAAAAGCACGACGCAAGCGCUCUCCAGUAACCUUUAAGCUAUGAAGCUGCCAAAUCAUACCAAAUAACACGUUAAGGUACGCAGCCAAUAUAAAGUAGAAAUAAUGUAUGUACAGUGUAGUAUCACUUACUGGAAUUGGGACAUCACAGAGCACACUGAUGAUGGUGUGUUAGACU
Long non-coding RNA from Mobula hypostoma (lesser devil ray), 732 nucleotides. RefSeq lists it as uncharacterized. The record is from RefSeq and is a predicted model, not a curated record. The transcript has 4 exons. NCBI's taxonomy places the organism in Eukaryota, Metazoa, Chordata, Chondrichthyes, Myliobatiformes, Myliobatidae.